GGAGGAAAUAAUACAGAAGAUUGCAGAAUAUGAAAAAACCCCCCAAAAAGUCGAUUUUAGUUGAAGACAAAAAUCUUAACUAUGUUUCCAGACGAAUUUCUGCCCAUGAAGGAAAUAAAAUGCAAUUGAUAGAAGAAUAUUUAUCCGAAGUUCGAGAUAAAUUACUUCAAACUGUUGAGUAAAAUUCGGAUGCCUCAAUGAAUAGCACAGAUGCAAACACAGAAGAUA
This 228-nucleotide long non-coding RNA is filed under the name Capsicum annuum. RNAcentral describes it as "long non-coding RNA (CANN_LNC004711)". Lineage: Eukaryota; Viridiplantae; Streptophyta; Magnoliopsida; Solanales; Solanaceae. The record is from RNAcentral.